RNAcentral lists this ribosomal RNA (380 nucleotides) under uncultured bacterium. RNAcentral's name for it is "bacterial SSU rRNA". It matches the Rfam family "Bacterial small subunit ribosomal RNA", at positions 434 to 793 of the family's 1533-position model. The record is from RNAcentral.
CAGUAGGGAGGAAGGUAGUGUAGUUAACACCUGCAUUAUUUGACGUUACCUACAGAAGAAGCACCGGCUAACUCCGUGCCAGCAGCCGCGGUAAUACGGGAGGGUGCGAGCGUUAAUCGGAAUUACUGGGCGUAAAGCGCAUGCAGGCGGCCUGUUAAGUCAGAUGUAGAAAGGCCCGGGGACCGUUUAACCUACGGUAAAGUUGCAUUUAGUAAACGUGGCGAGGCUAGAGUCUUGUAGAGGGGGGUAGGAAUUUCAGGUGUAGCGGUGAAAUGCGUAGAGAUCUGAAGGAAUACCAGUGGCGAAGGCGGCCCCCUGGACAAAGACUGACGCUCAGAUGCGAAAGCGUGGGGAGCAAACAGGAUUAGAUACCCUGGUAG